GGCUCAUUUGUGAGGGAAGUGAAGCUAACCCCUUUGAAUUCAACAGGUCGUAACUAGAGACACACGUGUUGCGCGACGGUUAUGACCUAUCGUCUAGAGGUGUUUCUUUCCAUCAUCGUUAUUAACUGGAUGUCGAUGAAGAGGUCGAUGCCUGUCUACAUUAGAGAACCCGAUCCAGACUCAAAAUCCGUUGCAGACAGACUUCAUUGGGCAAUUCUUCGAGGGAAGAUAGUGACUGUUAACAAAUUGCUUGAUUCUGGUGUUCCUGUUGAAUUGCCUAAUCGAGCUGGUCAAACCCCAUUAUUUUGUGCAUCAUUUCAAGGGCAUUUUGACAUAGUGAAGCUUUUGCUUAAACUUGGUGCUGACCCAAAUAGGCGGUGCUCCAUUCUUUGUUGCACUCCAGUGCAUGCAGCUUGCUGGAGUGGCAAUAAUCAUCUACUCACUUCACUACUGAUUGCAGGAGGCGACCUUCGAUUGCACGAUCAAAAGAACCGCUCACCUCGGGAUUGGGCCACGAUGCAACCAAAUUCUGAUAGCCGCCUCGCCACUCUUUCGUUGAUUGAAUCAUUCCGUCAAAUGGCGAUGAAAAAUAACGAGCUCAAUGUUGACUCUGGGGUUUCCGAAUUAAAUAACAGUACUGCCCCUCGUGCCCACCGUGCUACCCUAAAGUUCCCGGCAAAAUUGCGGAAUACGCUCGCUGCGAUGGGCUUAGUCUGCAGCGAAAAUUGUGAAUUCAUUGGGCCGUUGGGCAACGUUCAAGGCACUGGCUUUGGAAAGAUACUUUAUGGACGAGGAGAAAGUGCAGCUGCGCUGUGGCCUGUUCCCUUAAUUAGUGAAACUGAAAUAAGUGAUCCUGAUGACGAUGGGUGUGGUGCUGAAGCGGAUCUCAAUGGCUUGCUUCCUCGAGGAAUAGCUUACAGGUGUGGUCCAACAACAGAAAUGGUUUCCAGGCGUUGGCACCAAACCCCGGUUACUAUCCGUCGCAUGAGAGAUAAUCAACCACCUGAUCUGUUAUUUGAAGAAUUGCAAAGCAUGAGUCGACUGAGGCAUCCAGGGUUAAUGUUGCUAUUGGGUGUAAGUGCUACACAACACUGGGAGAGCGUUCAGCUUAUAUAUGAGCCUAUAUAUCAUGGGUCACUUCAUCACAGACUACAUAUCAUGGGAUCUGCUAUACCCCUGCUUAAGAAACUACUGAUCCUAGAACAAAUUUGUGAUGCCCUAUUGUUUCUCCAUUCCAAGGAGUUACUGCAUUGCAGCGUUUCGUCGCAUGCCGUUCAUUUGGUAUCUAGAGGUCGAGCCAAGUUAGGCUGUUUGGAAACCUUGAUUGAAGACAAUAACUCAUCCAAGAGGGUGUAUCGUAAAGUUCCGUCUUCUCAUUGGGAAUGGAUGGCACCGUGGUUGGCACCAGAAUGUGCCCGUGGCGAGUCUGUGUGUACUUUGUCCGAUGUGUAUUCGUUUUGCUGUCUUGUUUGGGAGACAUGUUCUGAGAAAUUACCUUGGUCACACCUUGACUGUCAAGAGAUUAACCGCAUGUGGCAGAAAGAAAGUUGCAACAAUUCACGAAUGCUUCCGCUUGGACCUGCCAUCCCUCUUCAUGUUGGGAGUUUCCUCAAUCUGGGCCUUCAACCGGAAUUGUCCGAGCGACGUGAAAUUGAUUUGCAGGAAAUUUAUAUGAUGCUGAGGCUUCAGUCAGCAGUUUCCCACUCACAACAGAAAGAAGUCUAUCAAAAAUCGAACUCUCCACCAAUUGCGCGAAUGACAUCGUCAACACCCGUUCCCCCAAUCUACAAUCAGACGCAGAUACAGCCUCAACACGGAUGGGAUGCAGUAAAGGAGAGUUUCAAGAAAAGGCGAACUCCUCCGCCACCACCACCACCUCUUCCGCCACCCCCGCCAGGGCAGCAGCAGGUUCCGGAAGUGCUGAAUUGUACGCCAGACGAUGGCGAUACAGAGAGCAAUCAAACAGUACCGAAUGAAAAUACUCAAUGCGAUGUUCAGACCGAAUGCAACCAAACUCGGCAACAAUUAACGGUUUACACAACUCCAAGUCCUAAUGACGGUGAAAGGUUUAACUAUGUACCUAUGCCACAUCAGCGCGAAACCAGAAAUAUUCAGAGCUCUGAAUUUGCGAUUAAGCCUGCCAGUCACACAACUGAGCGCCAUUCUAUGAACUGUCUUAUGGCUCAUUCAGAUCGUAGCACAUCUACCUACCAUACACCUCCUUGUCAACGAAACGAGUCGUUCAAAAAUUGUAAUGCGUAUUCGGGUUUUAACAGUGAAAUGCGCGCAACUGUUGCCCAACCGGCGAAAAUUUAUCGCGAGGCAGCGGAAUUUGAAACUUGGCGCGCAAAGAUUGAUGAAGCAAACGAAGAAGAAAAUGCCGAAGAAGAGUCGACGGUUGAAGUUACUGGGCAUCCUUCGUCGACCUCGACUCCGAGGCACCAACACGGAGUGACAUUUUUGGCUUGCAGUUCAGGAUUGGAAGAUCCAGAAAAAGGCGUUGGACCGGAUGACAACGGAGGAGCUAAACCCAAACGUUCGCUCAAAUUUCUGCCGAAUGGAAGCCAACCUUGUUCCUCGCGAAUCCCAAGUUUUUAUACCAUCACGAAACCCAGGAAAGAAUUCGUUGCCUCGUUGACGGCCAUUUUUAACGACAAGGCUGCCACCAAUAGGACUCAUUCAAUCCUCAAACGGCGAUCGACUUCCACCCCGGAGGAGCUCUUGCUUGAACCCAACAUCGGAGAUACGUUUAAUGAGGGUAUCGAUUGCAUUUCACGGGGAGUUCAGUGCAACGAAUGUGAAUGAGGAUCGCGCUUGCCGGAAACAACGUACCAUUAUAGUGCUUUCGAAGCCUCGUCCACGUUCAAUAACCAAUUGAAUAUGUGGUUUGUUGACUACGUCAUAGACCGACUCGACCAAUAGCGGCGCGGUACUAGGUGUGACGAUGUAAGUAAACAAAGUUGACGUGUACGCUUGAACGAAGACAAACGUGGCCAAGCUCCAAACUCCGGCUACCAAACGAGAUGACCAGUGUUUCCGGAUGCAACUUCCUCCUGAGUUUUAAAAGGAACUUUAAUUUGCAUUAAAGGCGAUUGUUUGCGUACUACUCGAAUGGUCGCAAAUCUCGUCUGCCUUCUCCGUUUGUUGUGUUGGUGACGGAGAGACUUCCGAGGUCUGAGACAUCGCGAAAGGUGAACGAUCGGAAAACAAGAUUAUUCACACAUGCAAAACUUAGGACGCAUUUACCGGCCAUUGAAAGGGUUUUAUGACAGCGUCGAGAUUCGUCGUGAUGAGUGGAACUGGAACCAUGAAAACAAUAAUGGAACGAUGCCAAGCGUACAAAUAAAUCUCGUUCACGGUGAGAAACGAGUACCUUUGGUUUAUUUUUCAAAGAAUUAUAAGACAUUAAAAGAAGAUUUUGUGACCAAAAAAGAGUUUUACGUGAAAUUGAAUCGUCUGGCCAAGUAGUCCACCAUAAGGCCUCCCUUCUUCGGGCCGAUAUAGGAGCUAUUGUACUCACCUCCACGUCGAGCCUUAAUUCCGUCAGUCACCGAUAACAGUGUUGUGAAAAAUCAAAGGACAUUUAGAUGUUGAUCAGCCAAAGGAUUGUUAACAUGGCCCUGUCUUGUUUUCAGUGAAGAUAGCGGUUCUGCUGAGGAUACCGAUAACGAAAGGAUAAUUACAAAUUGGACCAAAAAGGUGGGUCGUAAUAGCUGCAAUUGUCGGAACAUUGUGCUUGUAUAACGGCGAUCAGUGUUACUGUGGCUAAAUAUCUUGAGCUCCUGAUCCCUUUUAAGGCAAUUUGUGUAUUUAUAGGUAUGUGUCUUAAGUUUCGUGUGUUAGCAACCCGUUGGUUACAAAUUCGAUACAUAUUUUAAAACCAAACAGUCGGAUCAGAUGCAGUAACAACCUCGGUAGAUGCGUUCGCUUAGGCAUUAAUAAUUUGGGAAACUUGUUCGAUCACCAACUGCCAUGACAACACAUUAUACAUGUACUAAAUGCCAUUCGCUUGGUUUUGGGUCGUGCAGAAAACGGAAGAGUUUAAAUGUUGAAUUAUAAAUCAGUCCCAUGUAACUGUCAGGACUUGCUAGGAAGCGAUUUCUUGCAGCUGUAGGCAGCCCUACUUCUACUGCUACGUACGUAAGGUAAAGGUAGCUGAUUAACAUAUUCGAACCACGUGUUCAGACCACUUUUUUGUGACAACCGUUCAAAACGCGAACAAGAACUAAGCAAGAAUAAGGGUACAUCAUAACCAAACAAAUUAUGUAAGACUAUUUUGUUUAAAUAUAAAAAUAUACGGAUGUUCUAGUCCUACCGGAAAGUG
RNAcentral lists this unclassified non-coding RNA (4324 nucleotides) under Daphnia magna. RNAcentral's name for it is "inactive serine/threonine-protein kinase TEX14-like, transcript variant X4". Lineage: Eukaryota; Metazoa; Arthropoda; Branchiopoda; Diplostraca; Daphniidae. The record is from RNAcentral.